GACGAACGCUGGCGGCGUGCUUAACACAUGCAAGUCGAACGGAAAGGCCCUGCUUUUGUGGGGUGCUCGAGUGGCGAACGGGUGAGUAACACGUGAGUAACCUGCCCUUGCCUUUGGGAUAACUUCAGGAAACUGGGGCUAAUACCGGAUAGGAGCUCCUGCUGCAUGGUGGGGGUUGGAAAGUUUCGGCGGUUGGGGAUGGACUCGCGGCUUAUCAGCCUGUUGGUGGGGUAGUGGCUUACCAAGGUUUUGACGGGUAGCCGGCCUGAGAGGGUGACCGGCCACAUUGGGACUGAGAUACGGCAGAGACGCCUACGGGAGGCAGGAGUGGGGAAUAUUGCACAAAGGGCGGAAGCCUGAUGAAGCAUCGCCGCGUGCGGGAUGACGGCCUUCGGGUAGUAAACCGCUUUCGCCUGUGACGAAGCGUGGGUGACGGUAAUGGGGAAAGAAGCACCGGCUAACUACGU
RNAcentral lists this ribosomal RNA (467 nucleotides) under uncultured bacterium. RNAcentral's name for it is "partial 16S ribosomal RNA". It matches the Rfam family "Bacterial small subunit ribosomal RNA", at positions 28 to 506 of the family's 1533-position model. The record is from RNAcentral.